Molecule: ribosomal RNA, 387 nt
Filed under: uncultured bacterium
Lineage: Bacteria
Description: bacterial SSU rRNA
Rfam family: Bacterial small subunit ribosomal RNA
Source: RNAcentral
GACGAACGCUGGCGGCGUGCUUAACACAUGCAAGUCGAGCGGUAAGGCCCCUUCGGGGGUACACGAGCGGCGAACGGGUGAGUAACACGUGAGCAAUCUGCCCUUCACUUUGGGAUAACUCUGGGAAACGAGAGCUAAUACCGAAUACGACCACUUCAGGCAUCUGAUGGUGGUGGAAAGUUCCGGCGGUGAAGGAUGAGCUCGCGGCCUAUCAGCUAGUUGGUGGAGUAACGGCCCACCAAGGCUUCGACGGGUAGCCGGCCUGAGAGGGUGACCGGCCACACUGGGACUGAGACACGGCCCAGACUCCUACGGGAGGCAGCAGUGGGGAAUAUUGGACAAUGGGCGAAAGCCUAAUCCAGCAACGCCGCGUGAGGGAUGACGGCC